RNAcentral lists this ribosomal RNA (497 nucleotides) under uncultured bacterium. RNAcentral's name for it is "partial 16S ribosomal RNA". It matches the Rfam family "Bacterial small subunit ribosomal RNA", at positions 28 to 507 of the family's 1533-position model. The record is from RNAcentral.
GAUGAACGCUGGCGGCGUGCCUAAUACAUGCAAGUCGAGCGAACAGACGAGGAGCUUGCUCCUCUGACGUUAGCGGCGGACGGGUGAGUAACACGUGGAUAACCCACCUAUAAGACUGGGAUAACUUCGGGAAACCGGAGCUAAUACCGGAUAAUAUAUUGAACCGCAUGGUUCAAUAGUGAAAUACGGUUUUGCUGUCACUUAUAGAUGGAUCCGCGCCGCAUUAGCUAGUUGGUAAGGUAACGGCUUACCAAGGCAACGAUGCGUAGCCGACCUGAAAGGGUGAUCGGCCACACUGGAGCUGAGACACGGUCAAGACUCCUACGGGACGCAGCAGUAGGGAAUCUUCCGCAAUGGGGGAAAGCAUGACGGAGCAACGGCGCGUGAGUGAUGAAGGUCUUCGGAUCGUAAAACUCUGUUAUUAGGGAAGAACAAAUGUGUAAGUAACUAUGCACGUCUUGACGGUACCUAAUCAGAAAGCCACGGCUAACUACGUG